UUUUUUGUAGUUAACUAACAUUUGUCAAACUAACACACUGCUGUUAUAUUACACCAAUUUGUUUGUGUUGACAUACACUCAUAUCGACCUUAAUUUAAUAAAAAAAAAUGUUUAAGUUUCAUGUUUGCUAAUGUUUUAAACACGUAUUUAACACCUCUUCAUCGUGUUUGCGCUUGGUUGGGUGUGAUAAAGUUCUGGAGACUUAUAAUAAAACUGUACUGCCUCCCUCUACUGGACGCAUCAAGAACAACAGGGGUGUAAAACUGCCCAGGCCAUAAAACUGCUUGGGCCGUAGAUCUGUCUGGAUCCAAGUCUGCAGUCUUCCCCACCUCGAAUAUUUCGUGCAACAGCGCCCCCUGGUCAGUGAUCACAAUUUUCGGCACAACACCGCCCUUCAGAAACGAAAGUGAAAGUGUUUAGUUGUUGUGUUGCAGUUUUAAACAACCAAAAUUCAUCAUUUACCAACGCGGAACAGCUUUAAAUCUUUAAUGUCUGGACAAAACCUGUAAGCUUUAUGUGAAUGUGUGUAUGAUGUUAUUAUAAUCAAACGGAUGACGCUGUGAUUCUUCAUUAGUUUACUCGUGAUGAGCUUCUGGAUUUGAGUGUCUCAGCUGCUGAUCUAUUCCUGCAUUCAGCUGAAUUAUGAAGGCUGAUCAAUGACUGGAGAUCUGUGAUUGUUUAUCAGUUUCUUGUUUCUUCUAGAGUUUCUGCUGGAGAUCAAACUCUUCAGAUCCAUCAUGGAGGACACAAACACACCUGGAGUUCUGGAUUUGUCUACAGGAUGCAGUUCAGUUCAUCAGAAGAGAGCAGAAGCAGAGCCCAGCUGUGUGUCUAUGAAGAGUGACGCGUCUAUGGAUGAACCAAUAAAUCUUAAGAGUAAAAACACAGGACCUGCUGUCAGUUCAGUUCAUCAGAAGAGAGCAGAAGCAGAGCCCAGCUGUGUGUCUAUGAAGAGUGACGCGUCUAUGAUCCAACCAAUGCAUUUUAAGAGUGAAAACACACGACCUGCUGUAAGUGAUGAAUAUGAGUCAGCAGCUUCAGGAGACGAGACUCACAGGAGACACAAGAGCUUCACAGACAAUCUCCAGUUGAUCUUCCAGGUAAAAAAACUCAUUUAGACUUAUUAACGCCACUAAGGUAACUCAAUGAAACUAACUAAAACCCUGACUAACUAAAAGUGUCUACAAAAUGAAUGAUCUUAAUAGUCUGUGCUGCUUUGGUUUUUCAGAUAUUAAAAUAAUAUUUCUUGGUCAUUCAGAGGUCUCUCAGUCAUUUACAGGCACUUCAAGAGUUCCCA
This 1297-nucleotide long non-coding RNA is filed under the name Danio rerio (zebrafish). Its description in RNAcentral is "lncRNA (ENSDARG00000117513.1)". The record is from RNAcentral. Lineage: Eukaryota; Metazoa; Chordata; Actinopteri; Cypriniformes; Danionidae.